AUCGCUUCUCGGCCUUUUGGCUAAGAUCAAGUGUAGUAUCUGUUCUUAUCAGUUUAAUAUCUGAUACGUUCUCUACCCGAGGACCGUGUAUUAAAUGGGUUUUUGGAACCGGGAGAGGGAAUAGGAGCUUGCUCCGUCCACUCCACGCAUUGACCUGGUAUCGCAGUACUUCCAGGGACGGUGCCCUCCUC
This is a small nuclear RNA of Lynx canadensis (Canada lynx), 191 nucleotides long. Its record names the gene U2. It matches the Rfam family "U2 spliceosomal RNA". From Rfam's summary of the family: U2 is a small nuclear RNA (snRNA) component of the spliceosome (involved in pre-mRNA splicing). Complementary binding between U2 snRNA (in an area lying towards the 5' end but 3' to hairpin I) and the branchpoint sequence (BPS) of the intron results the bulging out of an unpaired adenosine, on the BPS, which initiates a nucleophilic attack at the intronic 5' splice site, thus starting the first of two transesterification reactions that mediate splicing. Lineage: Eukaryota; Metazoa; Chordata; Mammalia; Carnivora; Felidae. The record is from Ensembl.